This 65-nucleotide transfer RNA is filed under the name Idris sp. MM-2013. Its description in RNAcentral is "tRNA-Ser". The record is from RNAcentral. Lineage: Eukaryota; Metazoa; Arthropoda; Insecta; Hymenoptera; Scelionidae.
AGUUAAUUACCUUAAUAAAAAUUUAUAUUUUGAAAAUAUAAGAUAGAAAAAAUUUCUAUUAACUU